Molecule: long non-coding RNA, 661 nt
Filed under: Olea europaea subsp. europaea
Lineage: Eukaryota; Viridiplantae; Streptophyta; Magnoliopsida; Lamiales; Oleaceae
Source: RNAcentral
CGACAACCUAAUUAUACAUUUUGAACACAUUCGAAGACUCCAACAAUAAAUUUUUCUAAAAUAAUUCAGUUCAACUGAUGAAUUACUUCUGUUUUCAAAGUCCUUGCAAGUUGUAACGCCCCCUUCCCUACACUAAACCCCCUUCAAACUCUCAAUAAUAACAAAAGCUCAAAUAUUUCUAGAUCAUCACACCAUUGUCUUCACUGAGUCCCUUCUGGACUCCAAUACUCUUUCUCAGUUACCCUUCAAAUCUAGGGUUUCAUCUACUUUUUACCCUUUUUUUUUCUUGAUUUGCUUUCAUAUGGUUCAAGGACUGUAAAAGUCUGUGCAACUCUGGAUUUUCUGCAUUUUCAGAAUAAGCUUUAUUCAAGCUCUAAUGUGGGUUCUGUACGGUUCAUCAGGUUCAAGAUUUUACCUUAAUGGGUUUUUCUUUUUUUAAAUUUUAUUUUCUGCUACUUUAAGAGCUGAAGUGUUUCCAUUUUCUUCAAUGUAUAUACUUUUUCUGUAAUUGAUCAAAAACCCGUGUGAAGAUAUUCAUUUUUGUAAUAAAGAGAAAUCAAAAUUCUCUUUCGGGGGCGUUGCCCCCGACCCCCCACGAGGGGCGCUGCCCCCUCGACCUGACCGGGCAGGUCGAUCCCCGUUUGUGCGCCCUGAAGCGGCG